Phragmites australis (common reed) is the source of this 1728-nucleotide RNA transcript. It is a transcript of the gene named ALA-interacting subunit 1-like, with no coding region annotated. The record is from RefSeq and is a predicted model, not a curated record. Lineage: Eukaryota; Viridiplantae; Streptophyta; Magnoliopsida; Poales; Poaceae. The transcript has 12 exons.
CCUCGCAUCGCAGCACCCAUCGUUUGUCGGGUUCUCUCGCCUUCGCUCUCUGCUUUCCUCCACCGCUCAACGGAAUCAACCACACGGACCUCACCUCCUCCUCCCCCAUCCCAAUUUGACGGGAAAUCGGAGGCCUCCCUGUUAGUCGACGCAUGCGACCGAAGUAUUCCGUUCCUUGUAUGCGAUUGGGUUGAAAUGUCGCAAUCUUCAUGCGGUUGCCGUACAUGCCCGUGAUCUUAAUUGGUGCUCAUCAGAUGGACCCUUUUGAAGUGGAAGGGGACUCGAGGAAAUCUAAUAAGCCCAAAUAUUCUAAGUUUACACAACAGGAGCUUCCAGCAUGCAAACCACUGCUAACUCCUGGAAUUGUCGUUUCUGCCUUCUCACUAAUUGGCAUCCUAUUUGUCCCAAUUGGUCUCGCAUCGCUUUCUGCAUCACAAGAGAUUGUUGAGCUGAUAGACAGAUACGAUACAAGCUGUGUUCCCAUGACUGACAAGGUUGGGUUCAUCCAGAACUCCAAGACUGACAAAACGUGCACAAGAACACUAACUGUGCCUAAGCAGAUGAAGAGCCCAAUCUACGUAUACUACCAGAUCGGUGACUUCUAUCAAAACCAUAGGCGGUAUGUGAAAAGUCGCAGUGAUAAACAAUUGCGGUAUAAAGAAGCUGCGGGCUUGACAAAAAAUUGUGAGCCUGAAGGUAAUAGUGCUGAUGGUGCUCCAAUCAUUCCAUGUGGCCUCAUUGCUUGGAGUUUGUUCAAUGAUACGUAUACAAUUUCGGUCAACAAGAAGGCUAUUGAAGUGAAUAAAAAGGGUAUAGCUUGGCAGAGUGACAAGAAUAAUAAAUUUGGCAGUGAUGUUUAUCCUAGUAAUUUUCAGAAGGGAAAUAUUAUAGGUGGUGCUAAGCUAAAUGAGAGCAUACCGUUAAGUGAGCAAGAAGAUCUCAUUGUUUGGAUGAGAACUGCUGCCCUCCCAACUUUCAGAAAGCUUUACGGCAGAAUUGAGGCAGAUAUUAUGGCAAAUGAUCAACUAACAGUGGUUAUACAGAACAACUAUAACACAUAUAGUUUUGGAGGGUCGAAAGUGUUGGUCCUUUCAACGACAUCUUGGAUUGGAGGCAAAAAUAACUUCAUUGGUGUUGCAUAUCUGACUAUAGGUGGCUUGUGCCUUUUCCUUGCAGUGGGAUUCAUAGUUCUCUACAUGUUUAAGCCAAGGGCUCUUGGAGACCCCUCAUACUUGUCAUGGAAUAGAGAUAUCCUGGACUAGAAUCUUCUCUUUGUGAGAAAAGAAGAGUUUUAAUAGGAGCUUCAUAUUUCGGGUUUGCUUCAAGUUAUGUUCCAUGAAGAUAAUAGUGUCAUCCACAUAUUGCAGGAUUGACAACCCGCCAUCCACCAAAUGAGAAGGACCCCUUGGACUAUGCUCUCAGCUUGUGUCCUGCAUUGCUCACCUCGAAGAAUGGCACUGCAGACAAAGGUGCAAACAAUAUUAUUCCGAUCAGUUAGGCAUGCCAUGCAUAGAAAAAGAAGAAAUGAACUAGAAAUACUUCGAAAGAGACUGAUGCUGUCAUGACCUAUUUAUUCGACUCAAGGAAAGAAAGCACAAAGAAAAAUAGUGGGCUUUCAUAACCUUGUUUCCCCUUUUUUUCUCUUAAAGAAAGUUCUGUACUGAUAUGCACCUUGGUGCACCGGAAUAAAACUGAUGAUAAGUGAACAUAUGCGAAAAGUUUAGUCAA